CGGAGAGCAGAGAGGGAGCGCGCCUUGGCUCGCUGGCCUUGGCUGCGGCUCCUCGGGAGAGCUGGGGCGCCCACGAGAGGAUCCCUCACCUGGGUCUCUCCUCAGGGAUGACAUCAUCCGUCCACCUCCUUGUCUUCAAGGACCACCUCCUCUCCAUGCUGAGCUGCUGCCAAGGGGCCUGCUGCCCAUCUACACCUCACGAGGGCACUAGGAGCACGGAUUCCUGGAUCCCACCAACAUACAAAGCAGCCACUCACUGACCCCCAGGACCAGGAUGGCAAAGGAUGAAGAGGACCGGAACUGACCAGCCAGCUGUCCCUCUUACCUAAAGACUUAAACCAAUGCCCUAGUGAGGGGGCAUUGGGCAUUAAGCCCUGACCUUUGCUAUGCUCAUACUUUGACUCUAUGAGUACUUUCCUAUAAGUCUUUGCUUGUGUUCACCUGCUAGCAAACUGGAGUGUUUCCCUCCCCAAGGGGGUGUCAGUCUUUGUCGACUGACUCUGUCAUCACCCUUAUGAUGUCCUGAAUGGAAGGAUCCCUUUGGGAAAUUCUCAGGAGGGGGACCUGGGCCAAGGGCUUGGCCAGCAUCCUGCUGGCAACUCCAAGGCCCUGGGUGGGCUUCUGGAAUGAGCAUGCUACUGAAUCACCAAAGGCACGCCCCACCUCUCUGAAGAUCUUCCUAUCCUUUUCUGGGGAAUGGGGUCGAUGAGAGCAACCUCCUAGGGUUGUUGUGAGAAUUAAAUGAGAUAAAAGAGGCCUCAGGCAGGAUCUGGCAUAGAGGAGGUGAUCAGCAAAUGUUUGUUGAAAAGGUUUGACAGGUCAGUCCCUUCCCACCCCUCUUGCUUGUCUUACUUGUCUUAUUUAUUCUCCAACAGCACUCCAGGCAGCCCUUGUCCACGGGCUCUCCUUGCAUCAGCCAAGCUUCUUGAAAGGCCUGUCUACACUUGCUGUCUUCCUUCCUCACCUCCAAUUUCCUCUUCAACCCACUGCUUCCUGACUCGCUCUACUCCGUGGAAGCACGCUCACAAAGGGCUAAUCUCGGGCCUUGUUGAAGGAAGAGGCUGCAGACGUUAAUGAGGUUAGCUGCUGGAUUCCAGUAUUCGUCGCAUAAGGAUCCUUCUUUGUCUGCGAAGGAAAAACACACUGAUUAUCAUAAUGAGUUCCUGACCUGGCCCUCCCGGGGUGCCCUUGGCCAGCCCCGUGCCUCCUCAGGGUGUCCCAGCACCAGCCUGGCACAGAGUGGGGCUCAGUUAGAGUAUGUGGGAUGUUGGUUUCGCCAGGCACGUGGGCCGUGGCCCGGCUGGGUCGGCUGAAGAACUGCGGAUGGAAGCUGCGGAAGAGGCCCUGAUGGGGCCCACCAUCCCGGACCCAAGUCUUCUUCCUGGCGGGCCUCUCGUCUCCUUCCUGGUUUGGGCGGAAGCCAUCACCUGGAUGCCUACGUGGGAAGGGACCUCGAAUGUGGGACCCCAGCCCCUCUCCAGCUCGAAAUCCCUCCACAGCCACGGGGACGCCCUGCACCUAUUCCCACGGGACAGGCUGGACCCAGAGACUCUGGACCCGGGGCCUCCCCUUGAGUAGAGACCCGCCCUCUGACUGAUGGACGCCGCUGACCUGGGGUCAGACCCGUGGGCUGGACCCCUGCCCACCCCGCAGGAACCCUGAGGCCUAGGGGAGCUGUUGAGCCUUCGGUGUCUGCAUGUGGGAAGUGGGCUCCUUCACCUACCUCACAGGGCUGUUGUGAGGGGCGCUGUGAUGCGGUUCCAAAGCACA
Molecule: long non-coding RNA, 1770 nt
Filed under: Pan troglodytes (chimpanzee)
Lineage: Eukaryota; Metazoa; Chordata; Mammalia; Primates; Hominidae
Description: lincRNA
Rfam family: Maternally expressed 3 conserved region 2 (bases 518-622)
Source: RNAcentral